UUCUAGAUUUUAAAUAAAACUAGAGUUAAAUGUCCAUUAAGUUCUGUGUUUGUUAUUCUAGACCACCUUAUGGAACUGUGAGAAGAUAAUGAACUGUACCCACCCUUGCCCAUUUUACCAUGUGAUUCUGUUUAUGGUCCAUAUUACCUAUAGCUAUUUGAGUCUGUAUUGAUUCAUUCAUCAAACAACUUAAUCAUGAAAAAAAAAGCCAUUUCAAAUAACAUUCCUCAAAAGACUUAACCAGGAAAGAUAUUUGAUCCAAGGGCAAGACAGGCCCAAUCAGAAGUUGUGUUUUGCAGGAGCCUUUUCCACUUUGCCAGAUGCUGAAGUCUGAAAUGUCUCCUGUCCGCCUCCAUUACCAGGGCCAUUUGCUUGUUCCCUGAGCAUAUGUGGGCAUUCACAGGGGGCACACAAUUGUCAAAAACCUGUGGGGCUACCUUGGCAGCAGAGAAGCUAAUACCAGCUACUUAGGAAUUUUAUACUGCUUUAUGAAAUGCUUCACCAGUGUGAUUUAACUUUGCAAAGGACUAGGUGUAGAGAGAACUCAACGGAGACCCAUUCUUUGGCAGUAUUUGUAUUUCAUAGGAACCAUAUAUAUAAAUUUCCCAUUUUUGUAGUAAUAUGGCUUUAAUCUUAAUGAAUACCAUUUUGGUGCUUUUCUUCAGAGAUUAGAAUUAACAUUCACAAGUGAACAGAAAAUGUUAAAGUAUUAUUAGUCUCCUGAGGAUUUUGCUUCUGGCAAUGCAGUUUUAGAGAUUUCAUCUUGGUUUAGGUGUAGGAAAAUACCACCAUUUCUGCUUGUUAGAAUGAAACUCUCCAAGGUUUCUAUUUCAGUCCAGGGUUUGGUUUUUCAAAGCAGAAAAAAAUGUUUUUCCUGGACCCUGACUAUAACCUGAAGUCAAAAAUCAAUUGAAAAACCAGCAAAAAUUGGUCAUGAGUGCUGUUAGAAAUUUUAUUGGUAACAGUUUUCUGGUCAUUACUAACACAUUUCUUAAUUAACUGCCUAGGUUGUUAAUAUGGUUUGUGUAAUUUUAGAAACUAUUUGUUUAUCUGUUGUUUAUAUCUUGUUUCACUUCACAAAGAGUGUAAGUUGACAAACCCUAUUUUGUACUAAUGACAACUUGGCUUUGAGUCAUUAAAAAAAAGUGGGUUUGA
This is a non-coding RNA of Odocoileus virginianus texanus, 1155 nucleotides long. The record is from RefSeq and is a predicted model, not a curated record. NCBI's taxonomy places the organism in Eukaryota, Metazoa, Chordata, Mammalia, Artiodactyla, Cervidae.